This 253-nucleotide ribosomal RNA is filed under the name uncultured prokaryote. RNAcentral describes it as "partial 16S ribosomal RNA". It matches the Rfam family "Bacterial small subunit ribosomal RNA", at positions 525 to 777 of the family's 1533-position model. The record is from RNAcentral.
ACGGAGGGCGCAAGCGUUGUUCGGAAUUACUGGGCGUAAAGCGCAUGUAGGCGGCCUGGCAAGUCGGGUGUGAAAUCCCGGAGCUCAACUCCGGAACUGCAUCCGAUACUGCCAGGCUCGAGUCUCGGAGAGGAUGGCGGAAUUUCCGGUGUAGAGGUGAAAUUCGUAGAUAUCGGAAGGAACACCAGUGGCGAAGGCGGCCGUCUGGACGAUGACUGACGCUGAGAUGCGAAAGCGUGGGGAGCAAACAGGA